Molecule: ribosomal RNA, 567 nt
Filed under: uncultured bacterium
Lineage: Bacteria
Description: bacterial SSU rRNA
Rfam family: Bacterial small subunit ribosomal RNA
Source: RNAcentral
CUCCUACGGGAGGCAGCAGCAGGGAAUCUUGCGCAAUGGGCGAAAGCCUGACGCAGCGACACCGCGUGGGGGAUGAAGGCCUUCGGGUUGUAAACCCCUUUCAGGAGGGAUGAAAUUGACAGUACCUCCACAAGAAGGACCGGCCAACUACGUGCCAGCAGCCGCGGUAAUACGUAGGGUCCGAGCGUUAUCCGGAAUCAUUGGGCGUAAAGAGCUCGUAGGCGGUUCAGCAAGUCGGCUGUGAAAGUUCGAGGCUCAACCUCGAAAUUGCAGUCGAUACUGCUGUGACUCGAGUCCGGUAGAGGAGAAUGGAAUUCCCGGUGUAGCGGUGAAAUGCGCAGAUAUCGGGAGGAACACCAGUAGCGAAGGCGGUUCUCUGGGCCGGCACUGACGCUGAGGAGCGAAAGCGUGGGGAGCAAACAGGAUUAGAUACCCUGGUAGUCCACGCCGUAAACGUUGGAUACUAGGUGUGGCGUCCCGAUUAACGGUCGCCGUGCCGAAGCUAACGCAUUAAGUAUCCCGCCUGGGGAGUACGGCCGCAAGGCUAAAACUCAAAGGAAUUGACGG